This 331-nucleotide unclassified non-coding RNA is filed under the name soil metagenome. RNAcentral describes it as "partial contains 5.8S ribosomal RNA, internal transcribed spacer 2, and large subunit ribosomal RNA". The stretch from base 1 to 120 matches the Rfam family "5.8S ribosomal RNA", at positions 35 to 154 of the family's 154-position model. The record is from RNAcentral.
GAUGAAGAACGUAGUGAAAUGCGAUAAGUAGUGUGAAUUGCAGAAUUCAGUGAAUCAUCGAAUCUUUGAACGCACAUUGCGCCCUUUGGUAUUCCUUAGGGCAUGCCUGUUCGAGCGUCAUUUAAACCUUCAAGCUAAGCUUGGUGUUGGGUGACUGUCCGCUUCACGGCGGACUCGCCUCAAAAUUAUUGGCGGCCGGUACAUUGGCUUCGAGCGCAGCAGAAACGCGAACUCGGGCCCGUCGUAUUGGCUCCCAGAAGCUAUCUUCACAAUUUUGACCUCGGAUCAGGUAGGGAUACCCGCUGAACUUAAGCAUAUCAUAAGCGGAGGA